RNAcentral lists this transfer RNA (71 nucleotides) under Hoplodactylus duvaucelii (Duvaucel's gecko). RNAcentral's name for it is "tRNA-His". It matches the Rfam family "tRNA". Rfam says of the family: Transfer RNA (tRNA) molecules are approximately 80 nucleotides in length. Their secondary structure includes four short double-helical elements and three loops (D, anti-codon, and T loops). Lineage: Eukaryota; Metazoa; Chordata; Lepidosauria; Squamata; Diplodactylidae. The record is from RNAcentral.
GCAGACAUAGUCUAAUAUUAUCACGCUGGUCUGUGGACCCAGAAAUAGGAAUUAACUCCCCCUUGUCUGCC